AGAGUUUGAUCAUGGCUCAGAACGAACGCUGGCGGCGUGCUUAACACAUGCAAGUCGCGUGCGCAGUUGCCGUAGCAAUACGGUGAUGGGCGCACGGCGCACGGGUGCGUAACACGUGGGCAAUCUGCCCUUUGAUGGGGAAUAACCCGCCGAAAGGGGGCUAAUUCCGCAUAAGAUUCCCGGAACUUCGGUUCUGGGAUUGAAAGCAGCAAUGCGUCGAAGGAGGAGCCCGCGCCCGAUUAGCUAGUUGGUGAGGUAAUGGCUCACCAAGGCUUUGAUCGAUAGCUGGUCUGAGAGGAUGAUCAGCCACACUGGAACUGAGACACGGUCCAGACUCCUACGGGAGGCAGCAGUGGGGAAUCUUGCACAAUGGGCGAAAGCCUGAUGCAGCGACGCCGCGUGGGGGAUGAAGCAUUUCGGUGUGUAAACCCCUUUCGACUGGGACGAAUGCCUCGCAAGAGGAGUGACGGUACCAGUAGAAGAAGCCCCGGCUAACUACGUGCCAGCAGCCGCGGUAAGACGUAGGGGGCCAGCGUUGUUCGGAAUUACUGGGUGUAAAGGGUUCGUAGGCGGUGCGGCAAGUUGGGAGUGAAAUCUCUGGGCUCAACCCAGAGGCUGCUUCCAAAACUGCUGUGCUCGAGUGUGAGAGAGGCUCGUGGAAUUGCAGGUAGCGGUGAAAUGCGUAGAUAUCUGCAGGAACACCCGUGGCGAAAGCGGCGAGCUGGAUCACUACUGACGCUGAGGAACGAAAGCUAGGGGAGCAAACAGGAUUAGAUACCCUAGUAGUCC
This 789-nucleotide ribosomal RNA is filed under the name uncultured bacterium. Its description in RNAcentral is "bacterial SSU rRNA". It matches the Rfam family "Bacterial small subunit ribosomal RNA", at positions 8 to 796 of the family's 1533-position model. The record is from RNAcentral.